UGGGGAAUUUUGGACAAUGGGCGCAAGCCUGAUCCAGCCAUGCCGCGUGCAGGAUGAAGGCCUUCGGGUUGUAAACUGCUUUUGUACGGAACGAAAAGACUCUGGCUAAUACCUGGAGCCCAUGACAGUACCGUAAGAAUAAGCACCGGCUAACUACGUGCCAGCAGCCGCGGUAAUACGCAGGGUGCGAGCGUUAAUCGGAAUUACUGGGCGUAAAGCGUGCGCAGGCGGCUAUGUAAGACAGAUGUGAAAUCCCCGGGCUCAACCUGGGAACGGCAUUGGUGACUGCAUAGCUAGAGUACGGCAGAGGAGGAUGGAAUUCCGCGGGUAGCAGUGAAAUGCGUAGAUAUGCGGAGGAACACCGAUGGCGAGGGCAAUCCCCUGGGCCUGUACUGACGCUCAUGCACGAAAGCGUGGGGAGCAAAC
This 426-nucleotide ribosomal RNA is filed under the name uncultured bacterium. RNAcentral describes it as "bacterial SSU rRNA". It matches the Rfam family "Bacterial small subunit ribosomal RNA", at positions 355 to 773 of the family's 1533-position model. The record is from RNAcentral.